Molecule: ribosomal RNA, 839 nt
Filed under: uncultured archaeon
Lineage: Archaea
Description: bacterial SSU rRNA
Rfam family: Archaeal small subunit ribosomal RNA
Source: RNAcentral
UCCGGUUGAUCCCGCCGGACCCGAUCGCUAUCGGGGUGGGGCUAAGCCAUGGGAGUCGCACGCCCCGGUAACCGGGGCGUGGCGAACGGCUGAGUAACACGUGGCUAACCUACCCUCGGGACGGGGAUAGUCCCGGGAAACUGGGAGCAAUCCCCGAUAGGUGGAGAUUCCUGGAAGGGUUCUCCACCGAAAGGGUGUUGCGGGGAUGUCCGCAACGCCGCCCGAGGAUGGGGCCACGGCCCAUCAGGUUGUUGGCGGGGUAAGGGCCCGCCAAGCCUAUAACGGGUAGGGGCCGUGAGAGCGGGAGCCCCCAGAUGGGCCCUGAGACAAGGGCCCAGGCCCUACGGGGUGCACCAGGCGCGAAAACUCCGCAAUGCGGGAAACCGUGACGGGGCCACCCCGAGUGCCCCGAAGAGGGGCUUUUCCCCGCUGUAAGGAGGCGGGGGAAUAAGCGGGGGGCAAGUCUGGUGUCAGCCGCCGCGGUAAUACCAGCCCCGCGAGUGAUCGGGACGUUUACUGGGCCUAAAGCGCCCGUAGCCGGCCCGGUAAGUCCUCCCUUAAAGCCCCGGGCAUAACCCGGGGACGGGGAGGAUACUGCCGGGCUAGGGGGCGGGAGAGGCCGAGGGUACUCCCGGGGUAGGGGCGAAAUCCGUUAAUCCCGGGAGGACCACCAGUGGCGAAGGCGCUCGGCUGGAACGCGCCCGACGGUGAGGGGCGAAAGCCGGGGGAGCGAACCGGAUUAGAUACCCGGGUAGUCCCGGCUGUAAACGAUGCGGACUAGGUGUUGGGCAGGUCUUAGAGCCUGCCCAGUGCCGCAGGGAAGCCGUUAAGUCCGCCGA